Molecule: transfer RNA, 73 nt
Filed under: Theropithecus gelada (gelada)
Lineage: Eukaryota; Metazoa; Chordata; Mammalia; Primates; Cercopithecidae
Description: tRNA-Asn
Rfam family: tRNA
About the family: Transfer RNA (tRNA) molecules are approximately 80 nucleotides in length.
Source: RNAcentral
UAGGUCAAGGCCAGUUGGUUAGGGUAUUUAGCUGUUAACUAAAUUUUUGUGGGUUCGAGUCCCAUUGACCUAG